RNAcentral lists this ribosomal RNA (482 nucleotides) under uncultured bacterium. RNAcentral's name for it is "partial 16S ribosomal RNA". It matches the Rfam family "Bacterial small subunit ribosomal RNA", at positions 30 to 507 of the family's 1533-position model. The record is from RNAcentral.
AUUGAACGCUGGCGGCAUGCUUUACACAUGCAAGUCGAACGGUAACAGGCCGCAAGGUGCUGACGAAUGGCGAACGGGUGAGUAAUGCAUCGGAACGUGCCCAGUCGUGGGGGAUAACUACUCGAAAGAGUAGCUAAUAACGCAUACGAUCUAUGGAUGAAAGCGGGGGACCGUAAGGCCUCGCGCGAUUGGAGCGGCCGAUGUCAGAUUAGGUAGUUGGUGGGGUAAAGGCUCACCAAGCCAACGAUCUGUAGCUGGUCUGAGAGGACGACCAGCCACACUGGGACUGAGACACGGCCCAGACUCCUACGGGAGGCAGCAGUGGGGAAUUUUGGACAAUGGGCGCAAGCCUGAUCCAGCAAUGCCGCGUGCAGGAAGAAGGCCUUCGGGUUGUAAACUGCUUUUGUACGGAACGAAACGGCUCUGGUUAAUACCCGGGGCUAAUGACGGUACCGGAAGAAUAAGCACCGGCUAACUACGUG